This 497-nucleotide ribosomal RNA is filed under the name uncultured bacterium. RNAcentral describes it as "partial 16S ribosomal RNA". It matches the Rfam family "Bacterial small subunit ribosomal RNA", at positions 28 to 507 of the family's 1533-position model. The record is from RNAcentral.
GAUGAACGCUGGCGGCGUGCCUAAUACAUGCAAGUCGAGCGAACAGACGAGGAGCUUGCACCUCCGACGUUAGCGGCGGACGGGUGAGUAACACGUGGAUAACCUACCUAUAAGACUGGGAUAACUUCGGGAAACCGGAGCUAAUACCGGAUAAUAUAUUUAACCGCAUGGUUCAAUAGUGAAAGACGGAUUUGCUUUCACUUAUAGAUGGAUCGGGGUGGCAUUAGCUAGUUGGUAAGGUAACGGCUUACCAAGGCAACGAUGCGUAGCGGACCUGAGAGGGUGAUCGGCCACACGGGAACUGAGACACGGUCCAGACUCCUACGGGAGGCAGCAGUAAGGAAUCUUCCGCAAUGGGGGAAAGCCUGACGGAGCAACGCCGCGUGAGUGAUGAAGGUCUUCGGAUCGUAAAACUCUGUUAUUAGGGAAGAACAAAUGUGUAAGUAACUAUGCACGUCUUGACGGUACCUAAUCAGAAAGCCACGGCUAACUACGUG